CUACAACCCUGUAAAGGCAGCAGAUUUGUACCUCUUGGAUAAUUUGAAGAGCAACCACUCCUCUACUUUUCUUCAUAAUCGGUUUCUUCUUCGUCCAACGGCGGUUGGAGAUGAAGUAGGCCAAAGCUACGCACAGUAAAAUGGCGCCACCGAAGC
Non-coding RNA from Arachis ipaensis, 156 nucleotides. The record is from RefSeq and is a predicted model, not a curated record. NCBI's taxonomy places the organism in Eukaryota, Viridiplantae, Streptophyta, Magnoliopsida, Fabales, Fabaceae.